This 996-nucleotide long non-coding RNA is filed under the name Homo sapiens (human). RNAcentral's name for it is "HSALNT0026840". Lineage: Eukaryota; Metazoa; Chordata; Mammalia; Primates; Hominidae. The record is from RNAcentral.
CAGUGGGGCACAAUCCACAGAUCUACCAUCAUUAUGGAAAGAUGGUCCUGCUCUGUUGUGUUUUCAGGAAAAACGAAAGGGCUCCCAGGCCUGCUUGAUGCUUCCAGAUGCCUGGUGACAGGAAUCAAGAACCAGGGAAAGGCCUCAGGAUGCUGAGUUCAGAAAUUGUGAGGAUCGAGGGGUGAGAAAUCGAGAGCAGAUGAGGAAGCUGGUUCUCGUCAAGAUUAACUGACUUGCCCCAAAUUACACAACCUGUAAAUGCAUAAGGAGGAACCACAUCAAUUAUCUGCCUCUGAGGCACACAUUUAAAACAUUUCCUCUGCUGCUUUCAUUUCCUAAUGUCCUGGGGCCAACCUGAGGCUCAUCUGAGGGAGGUGUCUGAGCUUCAUGCAAGAGGCCUUGAUGUGUUCUAAUGGCUAAUGCAGAGUCUUUGCUCACAUGUCUACAUACUGAGUACCAUGCUGAAUGCCAGCUUAUUGUAAUCUCAGUGCACCAGAGAUCUAUGAGAAUUUGUGACACAGGAAUCUCUGGACUGGGGAAGCUGAGCAAGUUUUCUUUGAAGAGUGAAGGUGAGUUUAUCUGGAAGAAGAGUCAGGAGAAGAAUGGGGUAGAAUAUUGAAGACAGAAGAAACCAAACACGUAAAAACCCUGGAGCAGGCAGAAUGAAUGGAGCGGCUUUGAUCUUGGAAGCUGGUGAGCAGCAGUGAGGAGGGUCCCAAAGCUGUAAGAGAGAAAACUACUUGAGCAGAGGCCCCAGCUGGGCUGGUGGCCCCGAGGCUGACUGCGGUGUGUCCAAAGUCAUCUUCUUCCACAUACUUCAUCUUCCAGAAGAUACAAAGGAUGUGUCCUCACAUGACAAGGCCAGGUUGUGCUAUUAGAGAUUAGAGGAGUUAAUGUAGGUGCAGCUUCCUCACAGAAAAUGCAAGACACACAAGGGCUGCUUUCAGCAUUCUGCUUGAUCGUGCACAGCUAGACGCAGAGCACUCAGGAGCACAC